Long non-coding RNA from Mobula hypostoma (lesser devil ray), 1291 nucleotides. RefSeq lists it as uncharacterized. The transcript has 7 exons. NCBI's taxonomy places the organism in Eukaryota, Metazoa, Chordata, Chondrichthyes, Myliobatiformes, Myliobatidae. The record is from RefSeq and is a predicted model, not a curated record.
UCGGCGCUGCGGCGCUGGCAAAAGCAAAAUUAAUAAUAAAAAAACUCACAUUAAAGGGUAUUUUUUUUUCAUUUGCAGCGUUGUAAGCUUGUAAUUUUGUUUUAACUAUCGCUGUGUGGCUAAGUAUUCUCAAUUUCGAAGCACGUCUGACGAAAGUAUGAAUUGAACGUUUCAAGUUUACAUUGUUUUUGAAGGCGUCAGCUCCGGAACUUUUCCGAGAGUUACGCCACUCCGGCAUUAUACUCAGAGUUGCAGAUAGACGCUGUUCUCUAAUACCCAGCACUCUAACGCGUUCGUUAUUACACAUACACGGACUGCUAUUGAGUUAAUAGGAAAAAAAUCCAGUUUACUCAAAUUGAAGACGUGAUGCACAAGCUAAUCAGAGAACUCGGAUAUAAGAAAAUCCAGUGAUUGCAGAGAGAACGUUGGGAUCAAGAGGUUAGAUGCAGGAAUUCUGCAGAUGCUGGAAAUUCAAGCAACACACAUCAAAGUUGCUGGUGAAUGUAGCAGGCCAAGCAGCAUCUGUAGGAAGAGGUGCAGUCGACUUUUCAGGCCGAGACCCUUCGUCAGGACUAACUGAAGGAAGAGCAUACACAGUCAAACAAAUACAAUGGAAUCAAUGAAAAAAAAACACGCAGGUAAACAACAGUGUGCAAAAGAAGGCGAACUGUGCAAAUAAAAAUAAUAUUGAGAACAUGAGUUGCUGAGUUCUUGAAAAUAACUCCAUAGGUUGUGGCAACACACAUCAAAGUUGCUGGUGAACGCAGCAGGCCAGGCAGCAUCUCUAGGAAGAGGUACAGUCGACGUUUCGGGCCGAGACCCUUCGUCAGGACCAUAGGUUGUGGAGUCAGUUUAGAGUUGAGAUCAAGCGGAGUAGCACAGAGGGUGUGGAUGGGCUUCUGGCUUCAAUGGGGGAACACAAGUAUUCGGUGAAGAUGGAGCAUCAGCUCUCAGACCUCACUGGACGUGUUCAGAUGCCAUCUUCCAUUAAUCAGAACCACAGAGCAUCCAGAAGGCAGACCAAAGAUUUCUUCAUCCCUGUUGGUAAGUUCUCUGAUUUAUUUUGGUGUAAUUUACAAUGUCCAGCCACCAUAUCCUUGCCCAUGUUUAUCUGGACCUUCCAGCCUAGAAACCUGCGACUGGAGCUUAGAAAAAUAGAGGGCUAUGGGUAACCCUAGUAACCUCUAAGGUAGGGACAUGUUCGGCACAACUUUAUGGGCCGAAGGGCCUGUAUUGUACUGUAAGUUUUCUAUGUUUCUAUGCUAGGAGUGUUAACAAGGCUAGUUUGUAG